Molecule: ribosomal RNA, 484 nt
Filed under: uncultured bacterium
Lineage: Bacteria
Description: partial 16S ribosomal RNA
Rfam family: Bacterial small subunit ribosomal RNA
Source: RNAcentral
AUUGAACGCUGGCGGCAGGCCUAACACAUGCAAGUCGAGCGGAUGAAGGGAGCUUGCGCCUGGAUUCAGCGGCGGACGGGUGAGUAAUGCCUAGGAAUCUGCUUGGUAGGGGGGGAUAACGUCCGGAAACGGGUGCUACUACCGCCUACGUCCUGCGGCUGAAAGAGGGGGAUCUUCGGACCUCUCGCUAUCAGAUGAGCGUAGGUCGGAUUAGCUAGUUGGUGGGGUAAAGGCCUACCAAGCCGACGAUCCGUAAGUGGCCUGAGAGGAUGAUCAGUCACACUGGAGCGGAGACGCGGUCAAGGGUCCUGCGGGAGGCAGCAGUGGGGAAUAUUGGACAACGGGCGAAAGCAUGGUCCAGCCAGGCCGAGUGUGUGAAGAAGGUGUUCGGAUUGUAAAGCCGGUUAAGUUGGGAGGAAGGGCAGUAAGUUAAGACCUUGCUGUUUUGACGUUACCAGCAGAAUAAGCACCGGCUAACUUCGUG